UAUCAAAAACAUGUCUCCUUGUGGAAAAUAAAUAAGGAGUCGGGCCUGCUCGGUGAAAAUUUUUAACAGCUGCGGUAUUUUAACUGUACUAAGGUAGCAUAAUAAUUUGCCUUAUAAUUUGAGGCUAGAAUGAAUGGUUUGACGAAGGUUUAUCUGUCUCUAUUUUAUUUUUUAGAAAUUAAUCUUCAUAGUGAAAAAGCUUGAAUUUUUUAAAGGGACGAGAAGACCCUAUUGAGCUUGUAAUUUUAUAUAAUUAUAUUUAUUAAAUUUGUAUAGUUAUUUAUAAAUUUUAGUUGGGGUGACUAAGGAAUAAAGUAAGUAACUUCCUUAGAGUAAAGAUUGUUAAAUAAAGUAACCAUAUUCAAUAUUGCUUAUAAUAUAGUUACCAUAGGGAUAACAGCGUAAUUUAUUUAGAGAGCUCAUAUUGAAAAAUAAGAUUGCGACCUCGAUGUUGGAUUAAAGUAACCUUAAGGUGCAGAAGCCUUAGUUGGUAAAUCUGUUCGAUUUUUAAAACUUUACGUGAUCUGA
RNAcentral lists this ribosomal RNA (528 nucleotides) under Sepioteuthis cf. lessoniana ACEH12MAY02. RNAcentral describes it as "partial 16S ribosomal RNA". It matches the Rfam family "Bacterial large subunit ribosomal RNA", at positions 1805 to 2608 of the family's 2925-position model. RNAcentral also lists the same sequence under 1 other name. The record is from RNAcentral. Lineage: Eukaryota; Metazoa; Mollusca; Cephalopoda; Myopsida; Loliginidae.